This 3154-nucleotide long non-coding RNA is filed under the name Homo sapiens (human). RNAcentral describes it as "HSALNT0232452". Lineage: Eukaryota; Metazoa; Chordata; Mammalia; Primates; Hominidae. The record is from RNAcentral.
GAUUUGUCAACUGGGCUCGGGUCCAGGCUCACUUGCACCACCUGAGCCUAGGGUUCCCACUGGGGAACUCCUUCAGCAGGAAGGAAGGCAGGCUCCAAACAUGCUGUCUGGUUCAUUCAGGGCUCGGCAGGAGGUCAGAUGGCCUGAGGCCCAAAGAGCAGCCAUGGACAGAAGAUGUAUGAAUGAAUGAAAGAAUGAAUGGGCCUCAAGACAGGGAAGGAGCAAGGAAGCAGAAAUUCACCAGAGGCCCCUGCUUCUGAGCUCCAGCUCUCAUUCUAGGACCUGUCUGCUCCUCCAUUGCAACCUCUAAUGCUCCAUAAAUGGUUCAGGGUUUGGUGGCUGCAGCUCCCUCCUGUCUCAUGGCCCUUCCUUGGGAUGUCCUUGGGACCCCCUCACCCUCCAGUUUGAAACACACUCAUGGCAUUGUCUUCAAAGUUUCCACACUCUACUGGCAGCAUCCUCUGUGCUGAACUGAGGUCAGGCUUUCACACGGAGCUCAGAGGAAUACAGAAUAGUCCUGUCCUUCGUGUUCAAGCAAUGUCUUCCAGCAUGGGUCUUUUGAUUUUGGCUCUUGGGGCAAUGUUCCCGUGUGACUGUGGCUCCUGUGGUCACUUGGACAUGAAUUUUGAAUUCUGUUUCUUGUCUCCCCUGCCCCAAGGCUCCUUGGUAGCCUGUCCCUGUGGGUUCCUGUCUUAAUCAGGCCAGCCUGGUGUAGGUCUGAAGCACGCAGUCCCCUCUGGCUCCUCUCUGCAGGACAGAGAGUGGGGCGGAGGGACUCUGGGUUGGUUGGCUCUUUGACUCGACAAACACUGGCCUUGUCUUAUCGUAUCUGUGAUGCUGAAAGGGUAUCUGUCCCCUUUGCUGCCUUGAACAAAUGCGUCCUCCUGUCACUGCAGCCUUUGGAAGGUUCAUAUCCCAGGAGGGAGGCUAGCGUGGAGGAGGGAAGGAAAGACAGCUCCAUUUCAUUAGAAAGGGUCUUCCUUCCUUUUUCUUUUUCUUUUAAACUGUUUCCCAAGUGUCCUGAUUCAAACCCAGAAGAGACGGGAAGGUAUUUCCCUAUCAGAUCAGAUAAAAUGGGGAGAAAUGGAUCAGUAUGAUCGUUUUUCACUUGUUGGUGCCAAGUGUCUAUUUGAAAACUCCUUCUACACCCAGUCAGGACAUUACUCUUCCUUGCCUCCAUCCUGGGAAGGCAGUCCCUGGAGUGGGAGUUGACAAGGCAGUGGUUUCAUUGCAAGCCACUGCUGCAUCCACAUCCUGUCCACAUCCACGGAGAACUUCCUCCCCUCCCCCAUCUUCCUCUGCUUUCAUGGAUCCGGGUGGGGGCUUUGCUCAUUUCAGUCCAAGCCACUCUCCGUCCAAUCCACUGGGGGUGGGGGUGGUGAUGGGGCAAGAACAGGGUGCUGCCCCAGCCCUAAGACCUCUCCCAUCUCCAGGGACAACUGGUAGGCAAUGUCAGUGAGGUGACAAGUCCUGUAAUGCAGGGAAACUCAGGGGGACCCAGAGGAGGGGCACUGACCUUGCCUCUAAGGGUAGUUCAGAGGAGGGACAGCCUGAGCGGGAAGGAGCUUUGAGGGCGUUCAAGGUGAAGAAGGUGGUGAAGCACAGCAAGGUGUAUCUGUGUGAGCUGCUCUCAUCCCUGUUAAGGAGACAGCUUUCACCCUGUGGUGCUGCCUGUCUGGUGUGCUCUAAGGAGAGAUGGGCCUUUCCAGUUGGCUUCUCUGCUUUAUUUAUGAAGAACAAGAUGGGAAAGAGAGGCAGAAGUGGAGGGAGAGAGGAAAAAAAUGUGUGCAUAGGGAGGUAAUGACAGGAUUUGGCAUGGUUAGGGGGUAUCAGGGAACCAGGGAGAGAGUUGAGGGUCAGGAACUAUAAAGUCCCGAGCAGCUCCAGGGUUGGAGAGAAUGGGAGGAGAGCAGAAAGGGGAUAUUAGGAAACAUCAGAGCAGGGGCAGUUAUGAUUACAAACCUCUUAAGAGUCUGUGAGAGGUGCAAGUAAAGAUUUGAAUUCCUUCAAAAUCAGUUUUUGCUUGCAAGAGUUUUGCAGCAGGAGUUCAGUGUGGCUGCAGGAGAGGAUGAGCUGUGCAGUAAGGUGCAAGUGGAGGCUGGAAAGAACCCACACAUACAGGACCCGACGGGCCAUUUGAUCAGUCUGAGUUUCAGCAGGAAGGCAGUGGGGAGCCACUCACGGGUCAUGUGGGACAGUGAUGUGAGCCUUCAGGUCCAAGGCUCCUCUGGUUGCAGCAUGGAUAUUGGAUUAGAGCGAUGGGGCUGGAGACAGGAGGCCUGGGAGGAGACUGAGGCAACAUUCUGAUAGGAUAAGGAAUCCUGAUUUAUGACCCUGGGGAAGGGAGGUGAGAAUGGUCAAGGGAGAGACAGGGAGCUGAAUGGGCAGGAUGAUUGAGAGGAGGAGGGGGGAGAUGGAGAAGAAGAAGCUAGGGAUGCCGCCGGGUCUAGAUGGAUUAUCAAGAGGAUUAAACGAGGUCGGUCGGGUGCGGUGGCUCACGUCUGUAAUCCCAGCACUUUGAGAGGCCGAGGCGGGCGGAUCACUUGAGGCCAGGAGUUGGGGACCAGCAUGGUGAAGCCCUGUCUCUACUAAAAAUACAAAAAUUAGCCCGGCAUGGUGGCACAUGCCUAUAGUUCCAGCUACUUGGGCAGCUGAAGCAGGAGAAUCACUGGAACCUGGGGGAUGGAGGUUGAAGUGAGCCGAGAUCGUGCCAUUGCACUCCAGCAAAACUCUGUCUCCAGAAGAAAAAAAAAAAAGAAAGAAAAGAAAAGAAAAGAAAAAUGAGAACUACAUUUCCUAACUAGUAGAGAGUGGUGACUAACUAGAUGAGUGUGUGACUAAUUGUGGAGCUCUGUCCCCAUCACGAGGCAUGAGCUCCCCAAGGGCAGGGACUGUAUCUACCUUGUCCAUUGCCCUGUGCUCCACGUGAGGCAGGGGCUCAGUAAGUAUUUUUUUAAAAUUGGAAUUUCAUUAACUGUGUAUCGCAAGUUGGACAGAACUGACGUAUUUGUCAUAUUAAGUCUUUCCAUGCAGGAACUGGUAUGUUUUUCCACUUGUUGAGUUUUCAUGUAACCCUUCACAAGGUUUUAUGGUUCUCAUCAUAUAGCCCAGGUAUCUUUUCACUACAUUUAUUUCAAAAUAUUUUAAAGUUUUU